UCAUUAGACUACUUCCUGCUGAUUAGGGGU
Molecule: non-coding RNA, 30 nt
Filed under: Drosophila erecta
Lineage: Eukaryota; Metazoa; Arthropoda; Insecta; Diptera; Drosophilidae
Also listed under: 1 other name
Source: RNAcentral